UUGAUCAUGGCUCAGGAUGAACGUUGGCGGCGUGCCUAACACAUGCAAGUCGAACGGGAAGCCGAUUUCGGUCGGCGGAGAGUGGCGCACGGGUGCGUAACACGUAGCUCACCUGGCCCGAAGCGCGGGAUAACGCACCGAAAGGUGUGCUAAAACCGCAUAAGCUCACGAUCUGUAGAGGAUUGCGAGAAAAACGCUAGUGCUUCGGGAUGGGGCUGCGGCCCAUCAGCUGGUUGGUGCGGUAACGGCGCACCAAGGCGACGACGGGUAGGGGGCCUGAGAGGGUGGCCCCCCACACUGGGACUGAGACACGGCCCAGACUCCUACGGGAGGCAGCAGUGAGGGAUAUUGCGCAAUGGGCGAAAGCCUGACGCAGCGACGCCGCGUGGGUGAUGAAGGUCUUCGGAUCGUAAAACCCUUUUCUGCGUGACGAUGAUGACGGUAGCGCAGGAAUAAGUGUCGGCUAACUACGUGCCAGCAGCCGCGGUAAAACGUAGGACGCAAACGUUAUCCGGAAUUACUGGGCGUAAAGGGCGCGCAGGCGGUUGGAUAAGUGAGGCAUGAAAGCCCCAUGGCUAAACCUGGGGAGGUUGUCUGAGACUGUCCGACUAGAGUACGAUAGAGGGGUGUAGAAUUCCGCGUGUAGUGGUGAAAUGCGUAGAGAUGCGGAGGAAUACCAGAGGCGAANGCGGCACCCUGGAUCGAAACUGACGCUGAGGCGCGAAAGCAUGGGUAGCGAAC
Molecule: ribosomal RNA, 741 nt
Filed under: uncultured bacterium
Lineage: Bacteria
Description: bacterial SSU rRNA
Rfam family: Bacterial small subunit ribosomal RNA
Source: RNAcentral